This 303-nucleotide ribosomal RNA is filed under the name uncultured bacterium. Its description in RNAcentral is "partial 16S ribosomal RNA". It matches the Rfam family "Bacterial small subunit ribosomal RNA", at positions 507 to 808 of the family's 1533-position model. The record is from RNAcentral.
AGCAGUAGCCACGGUAAUACGUAGGUGGCAAGCGUUGUCCGGAAUUAAUGGGCGUAAAGGGCUCGCAGGCGGUUUCUUAAGUCUGAUGUGAAAGCCCCCGGCUCAACCGGGGAGGGUCAUUGGAAACUGGGAAACUUGAGUGCAGAAGAGGAGAGUGGAAUUCCACGUGUAGCGGUGAAAUGCGUAGAGAUGUGGAGGAACACCAGUGGCGAAGGCGACUCCCUGGUCUGUAACUGACGCUGAGGAGCGAAAGCGUGGGGAGCGAACAGGAUUAGAUACCCGAGUAGUCCCUGUCUCUUAACA